RNAcentral lists this ribosomal RNA (1224 nucleotides) under Lactiplantibacillus plantarum. Its description in RNAcentral is "bacterial SSU rRNA". It matches the Rfam family "Bacterial small subunit ribosomal RNA", at positions 139 to 1350 of the family's 1533-position model. Lineage: Bacteria; Bacillati; Bacillota; Bacilli; Lactobacillales; Lactobacillaceae. The record is from RNAcentral.
GGGGAUAACACCUGGAAACAGAUGCUAAUACCGCAUAACAACUUGGACCGCAUGGUCCGAGUUUGAAAGAUGGCUUCGGCUAUCACUUUUGGAUGGUCCCGCGGCGUAUUAGCUAGAUGGUGGGGUAACGGCUCACCAUGGCAAUGAUACGUAGCCGACCUGAGAGGGUAAUCGGCCACAUUGGGACUGAGACACGGCCCAAACUCCUACGGGAGGCAGCAGUAGGGAAUCUUCCACAAUGGACGAAAGUCUGAUGGAGCAACGCCGCGUGAGUGAAGAAGGGUUUCGGCUCGUAAAACUCUGUUGUUAAAGAAGAACAUAUCUGAGAGUAACUGUUCAGGUAUUGACGGUAUUUAACCAGAAAGCCACGGCUAACUACGUGCCAGCAGCCGCGGUAAUACGUAGGUGGCAAGCGUUGUCCGGAUUUAUUGGGCGUAAAGCGAGCGCAGGCGGUUUUUUAAGUCUGAUGUGAAAGCCUUCGGCUCAACCGAAGAAGUGCAUCGGAAACUGGGAAACUUGAGUGCAGAAGAGGACAGUGGAACUCCAUGUGUAGCGGUGAAAUGCGUAGAUAUAUGGAAGAACACCAGUGGCGAAGGCGGCUGUCUGGUCUGUAACUGACGCUGAGGCUCGAAAGUAUGGGUAGCAAACAGGAUUAGAUACCCUGGUAGUCCAUACCGUAAACGAUGAAUGCUAAGUGUUGGAGGGUUUCCGCCCUUCAGUGCUGCAGCUAACGCAUUAAGCAUUCCGCCUGGGGAGUACGGCCGCAAGGCUGAAACUCAAAGGAAUUGACGGGGGCCCGCACAAGCGGUGGAGCAUGUGGUUUAAUUCGAAGCUACGCGAAGAACCUUACCAGGUCUUGACAUACUAUGCAAAUCUAAGAGAUUAGACGUUCCCUUCGGGGACAUGGAUACAGGUGGUGCAUGGUUGUCGUCAGCUCGUGUCGUGAGAUGUUGGGUUAAGUCCCGCAACGAGCGCAACCCUUAUUAUCAGUUGCCAGCAUUAAGUUGGGCACUCUGGUGAGACUGCCGGUGACAAACCGGAGGAAGGUGGGGAUGACGUCAAAUCAUCAUGCCCCUUAUGACCUGGGCUACACACGUGCUACAAUGGAUGGUACAACGAGUUGCGAACUCGCGAGAGUAAGCUAAUCUCUUAAAGCCAUUCUCAGUUCGGAUUGUAGGCUGCAACUCGCCUACAUGAAGUCGGAAUCGCUAGUAAUCGCGGAUC